UGUUGCCUACGGGGCGCAGCAGUGGGGAAUAUUGCGCAAUGGGCGAAAGCCUGACGCAGCGACGCCGCGUGAGGGAUGAAGGUCUUCGGAUCGUAAACCUCUGUCAGCAGGGAAGAACGGUCACUGUGCUAAUCAGCAGUGAAUUGACGGUACCUGCAAAGGAAGCACCGGCUAACUCCGUGCCAGCAGCCGCGGUAAUACGGAGGAUGCGAGCGUUAUCCGGAUUUAUUGGGUUUAAAGGGUGCGUAGGCGGAUUUUUAAGUCAGCGGUAAAAUGUCCGGGCUCAACCCGGGCCGGCCGUUGAA
This 305-nucleotide ribosomal RNA is filed under the name uncultured bacterium. RNAcentral describes it as "bacterial SSU rRNA". It matches the Rfam family "Bacterial small subunit ribosomal RNA", at positions 333 to 631 of the family's 1533-position model. The record is from RNAcentral.